RNAcentral lists this ribosomal RNA (497 nucleotides) under uncultured bacterium. RNAcentral's name for it is "partial 16S ribosomal RNA". It matches the Rfam family "Bacterial small subunit ribosomal RNA", at positions 28 to 507 of the family's 1533-position model. The record is from RNAcentral.
GAUGAACGCUGGCGGCGUGCCUAAUACAUGCAAGUCGAGCGAACGGACGAGAAGCUUGCUUCUCUGAUGUUAGCGGCGGACGGGUGAGUAACACGUGGAUAACCUACCUAUAAGACUGGGAUAACUUCGGGAAACCGGAGCUAAUACCGGAUGAUAUUUUGAACCGCAUGGUUCAAAAGUGAAAGACGGUCUUGCUGUCACUUAUAGAUGGAUCCGCGCUGCAUUAGCUAGUUGGUAAGGUAACGGCUUACCAAGGCAACGAUGCAUAGCCGACCUGAGAGGAUGAUCGGCCACACUGGAACUGAGACACGGUCCAGACUCCUACGGGAGGCAGCAGUAGGGAAUCUUCCGCAAUGGGCGAAAGCCUGACGGAGCAACGCCGCGUGGGUGAUGAAGGUCUUCGGAUCGUAAAACUCUGUUAUUAGGAAAGAACAUAUGUGUAAGUAUCUGUGCACAUCUUGACGGUACCUAAACAGAAAGCCACGGCUAACUACGUG